UACGUAGGGUGCAAGCGUUGUCCGGAAUUAUUGGGCGUAAAGCGUGCGCAGGCGGUUUUGUAAGCCAGAUGUGAAAUCCCCGGGCUUAACCUGGGAAUGGCAUUUGGGACUGCAAGGCUCGAGUGCGGCAGAGGAGACUGGAAUUCCUGGUGUAGCAGUGAAAUGCGUAGAUAUCAGGAGGAACACCGAUGGCGAAGGCAGGUCUCUGGGCUGACACUGACGCUCAUGCACGAAAGCGUGGGGAGCAAACAGG
RNAcentral lists this ribosomal RNA (253 nucleotides) under uncultured bacterium. RNAcentral describes it as "partial 16S ribosomal RNA". It matches the Rfam family "Bacterial small subunit ribosomal RNA", at positions 524 to 776 of the family's 1533-position model. The record is from RNAcentral.